Molecule: long non-coding RNA, 470 nt
Organism: Phalaenopsis equestris
Lineage: Eukaryota; Viridiplantae; Streptophyta; Magnoliopsida; Asparagales; Orchidaceae
Exons: 3
Source: RefSeq, a predicted model, not a curated record
UUAUUUUCAAAAUUGAUGAAUUUCAUUGCACAAGAAUAUAAACAUAUUUUAAGAUUCAUAUAUAUAGUACACUCACAUACAAGCCUUUACAAUCUUAUGUUGAAUAACAUUCUCAAACCAAUUUCUUUGUGCAUAUUUGUGAGGUAAACCCAAUUGUGAUCGAGACGUUGGAUGUUCGUGAAGCUACCUUGGAGUAGAUAAAAAGGACGACAUCAAACUUUACAUCGCUCUGGCUUGAAUUGAGCGAAGCAGUUCAGUCUGGUCUUGUGCUAGGAUUUGCUAAAAGCUCACUUCCUUUUUGGAUGCCCAUCUUUAAGAGUGGUGUCAUGACAUUGGUCGGGAACAAGUUGCUAACAUGCUACUUCUAAAUAUUAAUUUUUAGGUGUGGCUUGAAUUGAUUAAUUAUUAUUCUCAUAUUCUUUGAACUUAUAAUAGUUUUAGAAAAUUUUCAUGUAGGUCAUGAUGCAUUU